UGGGGAAUAUUGCGCAAUGGUCGAAAGACUGACGCAGCGACGCCGCGUGUGGGAGGAAGCCCUUCGGGGUGUAAACCACUGUCAGGGGGGAAGAACCCUGGAGAUGCAAAUAGUUUCUCCAGCUGACGGUACCCCCAGAGGAAGCGCCGGCUAACUCCGUGCCAGCAGCCGCGGUAAGACGGAGGGCGCAAGCGUUGUUCGGAAUUACUGGGCGUAAAGCGCGGGCAGGCGGUCUUUUAAGUCCUCUGUGAAAAUCCGGGGCUCAACUCCGGAAAUGCAGAAGAUACUGGAAGACUAGAGACCGGUAGAGGCUAGCGGAAUUCCUGGUGUAGCGGUGGAAUGCGUAGAUAUCAGGAAGAACACCUGUGGCGAAGGCGGCUAGCUGGGCCGGGUCUGACGCUCAUCCGCGAAAGCGUGGGGAGCAAACAGGAUUAGAUACCCGCGUAGUCC
Molecule: ribosomal RNA, 450 nt
Filed under: uncultured prokaryote
Description: bacterial SSU rRNA
Rfam family: Bacterial small subunit ribosomal RNA
Source: RNAcentral